UUCCAGAAUUCUCAGAGUCACUCCAGUGUGUCCUUGAGCACAGGGCCCCCUUCACAGUUCCUCGUUGGUGCCUGGGUGGCUAUUGUUUAGGGCCACAGAGGAGCCAGUGCCCUCUCCCCCGCCCCACUUCCUGAAGGAGCACAGGUGUUGGGCCAGACCUACCCAGGACUGGUUCUCAGGAGCUACUCUUCAGUGAUAUGCACGUACGUCUGAAAUGUGAACCUGCAGGUAUGGAGGGUCCUGCCUCAAAUGCAUGGUGAGACAAUGCACUUUAGAGGAGGCAGACAGGGCUCAGUGCUGUGCCUGGCUACGCCACCUCCAAGGAUGGCAUUUCCAGCCCCAGAGGAAAAGUUGUGUAACUUUUGGAAGACUGAAUGGUCAGCAUGGCAUGAUACCAGAUGUAUAAAUUGUGAAAUGUAAAUCCUAAAUCAGCUUCCCCCCCACCUCCUCCUAAGCGAUCGGGCACUGAGCGGUAUUAUACGAUCUAAACUUUCAGUAACAGCAAGAACGUUACACCAUUAAUUGGGACGAAUUGGUUAGCAUCUGUAUCUCCAUAUACCACCCCGGUCUUAUUAAAUCUAAAUCAUAUUCGCACUCGGCAGCUCUGAUUUAAACUGUAAACCCAGCGUGGCGAAAGGAUACCUGCUGUUUGAAGAGCGAUCUUUCUUUCUCCUCCGAUUUCUGGCUUGAUUCGACAUACGCUGUGCAGCAUCAGGCCACGCCUGUGAGAGCCCGUGAGGCGGUGGCAGGGGCCCAGAA
Long non-coding RNA from Canis lupus familiaris (dog), 759 nucleotides. RefSeq lists it as uncharacterized. The transcript has 3 exons. The record is from RefSeq and is a predicted model, not a curated record. NCBI's taxonomy places the organism in Eukaryota, Metazoa, Chordata, Mammalia, Carnivora, Canidae.